This 545-nucleotide long non-coding RNA is filed under the name Chrysemys picta bellii (western painted turtle). Its description in RNAcentral is "lncRNA (ENSCPBG00000006895.1)". Lineage: Eukaryota; Metazoa; Chordata; Testudines; Emydidae. The record is from RNAcentral.
CAGUUAAAAGUAUUUGGGAUUAAAUAAGGGCUUCUAACUAUAUUUUUAUGUCUCUAACUAGUCAGGCCUAGGGCCACAUUAUGGCUGUAAAGCUACAUUGUGAGCAGUGGGAAAACCAUAUGAAGCCAUGAUGCAGUGGAAAGGACAGAAGUCUGACAACACUUGCAUGGGGCUAACAACUCCUUCCCAAUGACUGGUCAAAUGACUUGGCACACACAGGGCUUCAUGACGUAAGAAGAUUAGUAAGAAGAUAAGAAUUCAGGAACCUCCAGACCUGUUCUGAAACACUCAUCCUUGUUGCUGUAGUCAAUAUCAUCCUAUUACUAUGAACAGUCUGCUUAAGAGACAGCCAUGAAAUUAAAAUAGCUCAUGCCUGGAACCAAGACAGGGUGAGAAUCUGACCUAGAAGGAAAUACACUCUUGUGUACAAAAUCAACUCUGAGGCUGCCAAACCUAGAGUCAGAGAAAAGAGAAAAUCUGAAAUAUGAUACCAAUGCACUUGCUGAAAUUGCUGGUGAGACAACAACUACUGACUCAACAUGCAG